Eupeodes corollae is the source of this 1478-nucleotide long non-coding RNA. RefSeq lists it as uncharacterized. The record is from RefSeq and is a predicted model, not a curated record. Lineage: Eukaryota; Metazoa; Arthropoda; Insecta; Diptera; Syrphidae. The transcript has 7 exons.
UUUUGUUAAUUGUUUUGAUUUUUAAUAUAAUUUGAUAUUUUUCAGACCAAAAUUCUUUAUAAUGAAGAGGGUAUAUACAAGUUCACUUCAUUGAAUAAAAAUCUGUCUUUUCAUUUUAGAUAGUGCCAAAAUACAGCAAGCAAUUUCCUUUAAGUAAUUUGGAAGGCAAACCAAACAAGGCGCUGAUUUGCAGAUACUUCCCAUUGUUUUUGUAUGUACUUCUCAACGGCAAUAGCUGCCGCAGGCGUUGACGGCGGAGGUGUCACCAUCAAAACCAUUAGAAACAACACCACCAAGUCAAUGAUGCAAGUGGAAGUUUUGCCAUGUAAUAGUCGACCGCUGACGCCCUUCUCCAUCAAUUAUGUGUAAAGAGUACUACCGGUCUGCAGUUCUGCAAGAGACGCAAUAAAAACAAGAAUGCAAUCGCAGGAAUACUCAAAAAAAUUUCCAACCGUGACUGUAAUUGAGUUUAAAUUUUAAAUCUACAACAAAUCCAUUUAGUUUGGUCCUAAGAAUCACACUGGCUUAACGGUGGCAAUCAUUCGGGGGCAAAUGAGCUGGCCCGACAAGAAUCCCCAAGAAGCCAAACAGAUUCAGAUCAGUCUCUCGGCAGCUACUGACGAUGUCGGCGAGUUGAAUCCAUCGAUUUUCACACAGAAAAUCAACAUCAAAAAAAUCACUACUCGUAGCGGAAGCGAUCUCUGCGUUGUCGACAAUGCGAACCGAAUGUCAUCAAGCCGGAGUACCAACCGGGGCUCUUGCAUUGUAACAGUGUGCGAACAUCAGUGUAAAUGCGAGGCAGCAGCUACUGCUGCCGCCGAAGCUGACACCGCCUACAUAGAAGAGGUAGGUGAUACGAAUGCCGCUUUAGAAGGAACUUGUUGCGACAAUUAUAGUACCACCUAAAUGACGGGAGUCGAAAAUCAUUGAAUUCCUGCAAUUUUAAGAAACUUAAAGGCUGACAAAAUAGAAGCUGAAUUAAAGGAAUUCUUAAUGCCUAUUGAAUCACAAAAGCUUCUGUUUAGAAGUAACUGGCAUCGAUACAAGAAUGCCCCUACCAAUUGCCCUAAUGAUGUUCCAAGAGUUGCUGCGCAAAUAGUAGCGAGCCGGCAACCUUCACGUAGUGAGAAUAUCAGAUUGGAAUUUUCUUCGUAAAAGAAUGAUGGCAAGACUACUUCAAAUUACAAAUCAAAAUAAAGCUUAGUCGAUUUGACUUCUGCCGUUCAGUUGAUUUGACGAUAUGCUAAGAAUCUUUCCGUGAUUAGUAAAGAUUCGUCGUGGCGUACCUAGUUUUUAAGUGAAGUUUUAAUUUUUUCAAAAUUGUAUGUAAUUGGGUAUAAUUUUUGUUUUUAAAAUUCAAUUCCAUUAUAGAUUAUAGGUUUUAAAAUGUAUAUUACAGCUCCCAAAUUGAGUGAAAUUAAAUCUAAGUAUAAAUUGAAAAUAAAGUGAAAUUGUUUUCAGGGUUCUAUCAUUAUAUG